RNAcentral lists this ribosomal RNA (446 nucleotides) under uncultured bacterium. RNAcentral describes it as "bacterial SSU rRNA". It matches the Rfam family "Bacterial small subunit ribosomal RNA", at positions 330 to 793 of the family's 1533-position model. The record is from RNAcentral.
UCCAGACUCCUACGGGAGGCAGCAGUGGGGAAUAUUGCACAAUGGGGGAAACCCUGAUGCAGCGACGCCGCGUGAGUGAAGAAGUAUUUCGGUAUGUAAAGCUCUAUCAGCAGGGAAGAUAAUGACGGUACCUGACUAAGAAGCCCCGGCUAACUACGUGCCAGCAGCCGCGGUAAUACGUAGGGGGCAAGCGUUAUCCGGAUUUACUGGGUGUAAAGGGUGCGUAGGUGGCAGGGCAAGUCAGAUGUGAAAGCCCGGGGCUCAACCCCGGUACUGCAUUUGAAACUGUCCAGCUGGAGUGCAGGAGAGGUAAGCGGAAUUCCUAGUGUAGCGGUGAAAUGCGUAGAUAUUAGGAGGAACACCAGUGGCGAAGGCGGCUUACUGGACUGUAACUGACGUUGAGGCUCGAAAGCGUGGGGAGCAAACAGGAUUAGAUACCCUAGUAU